AUGACCAACUGCCCCGGGGCCAUGGAACAGAGGGGAAAAGCUGCUAACGAAGAAAGGACCGGCGGCCCAGCCCGUUCCAACCCAGGAGCAGCAAGGCCCACCAAGCCCCGCGCCCCCACGUCAGCCACAGAUCGGGCCAGAUCUAGGGUUUUCCCGACGCACACCACCGCACCCAUCGCCGAAGCCGCCGCAACCGGAGAGGUGGAGACGGGGCGGCGACCUCGGGCGGAGACCCCGGGCCAUCACCAACCACCGCAGCGAUGGAGUGGAAGGAGCCAAGGAUGCCACGAGCAGGAGACGGGGACGAGUACCUACCAGCUUUGCGCCAGCGAUGACCGACACGCAGCCACCCCGAAGACCCAACAGGCGAAGCCAUCGGCCUACCCCGGCCCCCCGGAGCAAACUUCCCAACACGGCCCGGCGCCCGGACAGCCGGCACCACCGACGCCACAACGGACUCAACGACCCCCUCCGAAUCAGAGUCCAGAUCCUCUGCAUCCCCCAAAGCCCAGAACCGAGACCCAGAGAACUCCGAUGACACAACCGGGCGGCCCGCCGCGGUCGAAGAUCCAGGGAGAUCCACCAGCAAGCCAAGCGACGAGGGGGUCGACGGAAGAGACAAGGAGGAAACAAGCAGCGAAGGGGAUCCAUGGGGGGAGGCGGGAUCUAGGGAAGAAGAGAGCGGGGAGCGGGGAGGAGAGGGGGGGAGGGAGAGAACCCAUCAGAGAUCCUCACCCCCUUUGCCCCAGGCCCGCCCUCUUGUUCUCUGCUCUGUCCUUGUCCGCGUCGCACCCUGCCCACCCUCUACCCCAACUCCGAUGUUGUCCCCCGCUUGCCUUGAACACGAUCGCCACCCUGAUGGGAGUGAGCACAUGCAUUGACGUGAUGGUGAGAUUUGUCUUUGUGGUGGUGAAGGUGUUUGGAUCGAAGUACUUGAGAGAACCAAAUAUCAAGGAUACAAAAAGACAUUUAGCAAUUGGAGCAACAGAAGGCUUUCCUAGUAUGCUCGGUUUAGUUGAUUGCAUGAGGUGGCAAUGGCAGAAGUGGCCGAUAGGUUUGUGCGGGCAAUACCAAGUAUUCCUAUCAUUGAAUGAUCUAUGUACAUGGGAACACAUGGAAAUAAGAUUUUGGAUAUGGGAGGCAAUAUUGCUCGGGCGGACAAACGAGGCUCGGUCGGCUUCUAUCCGUGAACAUGUCCGAAUGCGUUCGUGA
This 1212-nucleotide ribosomal RNA is filed under the name Triticum aestivum (bread wheat). RNAcentral's name for it is "partial small subunit ribosomal RNA". Lineage: Eukaryota; Viridiplantae; Streptophyta; Magnoliopsida; Poales; Poaceae. The record is from RNAcentral.